This 253-nucleotide ribosomal RNA is filed under the name uncultured bacterium. RNAcentral's name for it is "partial 16S ribosomal RNA". It matches the Rfam family "Bacterial small subunit ribosomal RNA", at positions 524 to 776 of the family's 1533-position model. The record is from RNAcentral.
UACGAAGGACCCGAGCGUUAUCCGGAUUUAUUGGGUUUAAAGGGUGCGUAGGCGGACCUAUAAGUCAGUGGUGAAAUCCCAUCGCUCAACGAUGGAAUUGCCAUUGAUACUGUAGGUCUUGAGUAUAGUUGAGGUGGGCGGAAUGUGUCAUGUAGCGGUGAAAUGCUUAGAUAUGACACAGAACACCUAUUGCGAAGGCAGCUCGCUAAGCUAUAACUGACGCUGAGGCACGAAAGUGUGGGUAGCAAACAGG